Molecule: ribosomal RNA, 553 nt
Filed under: Bifidobacterium adolescentis
Lineage: Bacteria; Bacillati; Actinomycetota; Actinomycetes; Bifidobacteriales; Bifidobacteriaceae
Description: bacterial SSU rRNA
Rfam family: Bacterial small subunit ribosomal RNA
Source: RNAcentral
CUCCUGGAAACGGGUGGUAAUGCCGGAUGCUCCAGUUGGAUGCAUGUCCUUCUGGGAAAGAUUCAUCGGUAUGGGAUGGGGUCGCGUCCUAUCAGCUUGAUGGCGGGGUAACGGCCCACCAUGGCUUCGACGGGUAGCCGGCCUGAGAGGGCGACCGGCCACAUUGGGACUGAGAUACGGCCCAGACUCCUACGGGAGGCAGCAGUGGGGAAUAUUGCACAAUGGGCGCAAGCCUGAUGCAGCGACGCCGCGUGCGGGAUGACGGCCUUCGGGUUGUAAACCGCUUUUGACUGGGAGCAAGCCCUUCGGGGUGAGUGUACCUUUCGAAUAAGCACCGGCUAACUACGUGCCAGCAGCCGCGGUAAUACGUAGGGUGCAAGCGUUAUCCGGAAUUAUUGGGCGUAAAGGGCUCGUAGGCGGUUCGUCGCGUCCGGUGUGAAAGUCCAUCGCUUAACGGUGGAUCCGCGCCGGGUACGGGCGGGCUUGAGUGCGGUAGGGGAGACUGGAAUUCCCGGUGUAACGGUGGAAUGUGUAGAUAUCGGGAAAGAACACC